RNAcentral lists this long non-coding RNA (2810 nucleotides) under Callithrix jacchus (white-tufted-ear marmoset). RNAcentral's name for it is "lncRNA (ENSCJAG00000079376.1)". The record is from RNAcentral. Lineage: Eukaryota; Metazoa; Chordata; Mammalia; Primates; Cebidae.
UUAUUGUGUUGCCUAGGCUGGAGUGCGGCGGCGCAAUCAUGAUAAUGGCUCACCAUAGCCUCCACCUCUCUGGACUCAAGUGAUCCUCCCACCUCAGCCUCCCUAGUAACUCGGGGUACAGAUGCAUGUCCCAGCACCCAGCCUGUAAUGCUCAGAACAGCGCUGGCUACAAAAGUGCCCUUGGUGUCAUCUUUGUUUUGUUGUCAUUCAAAACAGGGCUUACCUAGGAAGCUCUAAGGCCAGCCAGUCACCAGGUUUGGAAAGUCCAAAGAAGACCAGCAAGCAUCUAAAAGCCAGUGUGGUGCCACGGCAGGGAGCAUACUCAGCCUCUUGCUAGCUGAGCUGGAGGUGGACGAGAGACAGCAUCUCCUCUGUCCUGUUCUUCCUGUCCUGUACUGGUUCCAUCAUAGCUUUGUGAAAAUUCAUCAAGUGGCUGGUGCGGUGGCUCACGCCUGUCAUCUCAGCACUUUGGAAGAUUUCAACCAGUCAGCUAUUGAAGAGAUGGCAGGCAAUGAAUCUGGCUCCUUCUAUGGGAAGAAAACAGAAACACGUGCUGCUUGUCCGACUGAGGCAGGGGAAACAAGCUCCCUCUCCUGCACAAGACCUGUAGGGCUUGGCAUCUGUGAGCACUCCAGUCAGCAGAGCUGGCAUUGUUGCCCCCUUCCUCCACCCCAUCUAUGGAUAGAAAAACUGAAGACCCAAGCACUUAUGUGAGUUGCCUGGGAAUCCAUGGCUAGUAAGUUGCAGAGCUGUGAUUCAAACUGAAAACUUCAAAUCAGUGUUAUUUGAACCUUGGUCUGGUACUUUUUACUUUCCGCCAUACAAGAAAACAGCCUUGAUUGAGUCUCUGUAAGUAGCUCAUUCUGCUCCCAAGGUGUUGGGAUGCUGCUGACCCCCAGAAAAUUGUGGUCAAAGGCCAAGGCAUGACCCAACUCCCUUGGAUAGGAGUUUUAGUCAAAAAGUACAUCACCCCACUCACACGUUCUUAUUUGCACAGAGAGGAUUGUAUUACAGGGUCGUCUUUGUUCCAAUCCAUGCUUCCGGGUUCAUUUGUAUACAGAGAAAAUUGUGUCUGGAAUUUGCAAAGCCUAGUUGAAUAUUUCCUUGUUUCAUCAGUGGCAUUGUGUUAACCCAUUGGUAUACCAGUUUUAAAACUUGGGUAUAGGAGUAGAAUUGCCAGUGAGUUUGAAAAACUUUGAGGGUAUAAAUGGGCCAGAAUUUCCAAUAAGGAAAGAUGCCCUGAUGAUGUCACCGUAUCAGGGGACAUCUUGUGUUUUGUGGGGACCAAAGCUGUUUUGAGGAACGAGAUAGAGAGAUUGAGAGCGAUUCACUUGAAGGUAGGGACCCUGACUGAUUCAUCCUUGCAUCUUGCUUUGACCCCUAGCCCAGCAGCUGCAAUGAUGCUGUCCCAUAGAGGACACUCAGUAAUGCAGUGUCUGCAUCGAUGACUACAGAACCCAGAAACCUGCUUGCCUGUCCCCUGUAUUGGUGAGUUCCAUUCCUAUGGGUGGUUUAGGGCAUUAAAGAACUUUGACUAAUUCCUCUAGUUUGAAGUUAGAUAUGCCAAUUCAAAGAAAGCCACGAAAUGGUGUAUCCUCUUCUGUGAACCAGCUCCAGGGGAGGUAUAAAAAUGGUUAUAUUUAGAAACGGAGGUGUUAAUAACUUUAUUUUUUUUUCUAAAGAUCUUCUUUAAAAAAGAGGUUGUCCAAUAUUUCUAUCCAAUGCCCCUUCUUUUAAGAUUUUGGCAUUUGGUACCUUGCUUGGCCUGUGAAGAAACAACAAUCAUCUUGCAGACAUAGUGAUGUCCAAAGGAGCUCCGUCGUGUGGACCGAGGAGGCUGGCACGCAAAAAGCCAGAAGCCAAGUGUCUUCAUUCCUCUAGUGCACGCUCAGCCCCUAUUCCCCCAGACCCAGACUCUUUGGUUGAGAACUUCUCUGGAAUAUCAUUUUCCAAAGUAUAAUCCAUGGUGUUAAGAAAGGCUAUGACUUAAUCAGUCAAAGCUUUGGUUUUUCUCAUCUGUAAAGCACCAGUGAUAGGAAUUCAUAAGGUUGUUUUCAGGAUUAAAUGAAAUAACACAUGGAGAAAGAGCCUGCGGGGGCUGGGCUCCUAGGAACUGUUGGCUUCCUUUGUCAUCUCUUCCUUUUUCUUCUCAAUGCCGAAGAAGCAGAUAUGACACAUCCUUGAGUUCUUGUACCAUCUUCUCAUCCUCUUUUCUAUUUGUCUCCUUUGCUUUAAAAUCCUGUUCAAGUCCCACCUCCUGUGAGUCUUUUCUAAAUGUCUGCCUUGUGGGUACUUGGGUGGCUUUUUGGGUUUCUUAGAGCAGUGAGGUCCUGGCUGAAUUUAAUCUGAGAAUGGACGAGAGGGACGUGGGGCCCCCAGGUGUCCCAGGGCGAGUUGCUUUGCGUGAGAGGAGGACCCAGAAUGGGGCCCUUGAGUAGGAAGUCUAAGGUGCUAAGACACCUGGGGACAGAGGAAAGACGUGGUGGCAAUGGAGUGCUGUCCAGCUCCUCCCCUUCCUAAAGGGGCAGUAUCCUCCCCAUGUCCACAUUUCUGCAGAGCACCAGCCUGGGUCUAGUUCACUGGGGACUGGGGAGACAUAGCCUUUAGGCACAGAUUAAGAGACUUAGGAAUACAGGCCCUGGACAGCAGCCUCUUCACAGUGGAGACCCGGCAGACCCCCAGCAGAGUUCUGUGGGAGAACAACAAGCCCAGAAUUAUUCACAAAUGUGAAAGACGUGCCAGAGGGUGCCGAGAAACACCUGGUGGGAGGAUUUUACACAGACAAGAGGGAUGAUGAGUUUCUGACUUCA